UGAGUUCAAGACACUUUAGGUGUUGGCGUUGACCAGAAUAGCUUCAAGCUUGGAUUAGCCGGUUGCUCAUUUGAGGUCUCCAUGUUCUCCUGUUCUUCAUCAGAUGGAUUUGAUUGAGGGCGUCUCUCCAGCAUGGCCACGAAGAACCCAUGAGUGCGGGUUUUUGCUGUGCUCGCGCGAAGACACUGGGUCAAAGGCUCAUGACCCCUCUCAGGCCAGUCUGGAAGAAGAUGCACUAAUCUACAAAUACAACAAAAACACUCUUAAAUAUUACUGUUAAUUUUCCUUUACAGACUGAUCGUUUUGCUAUAUAAGACUUCAAUGUAUCUUCAAGAGCCACAAAUAUUAAGUUUGUUCUGCCUGAAUAAGGUGUUUCUUGACUCAAAGCUCCAGCUAUCGUUGACUUGCAUUUUAUGAAUCACCAAUGCUCAGAUUCAGCUAGAAAUCUUCUUUAAUGAUCUACUGAAGAAAGAAAAAGUCACCUACAUCUUGGACAGCCUGAGGGGUUCCGCUGUAAGCAGGCCGUCACAACCUCCUCGUUCUCCUGCGAGUGGAUGGAGCAGGUUGAAUAGACGAUCCGCUCCAGCUGAGGAAACUGCAGAGCAUGAUUCAGACAGUGAAGCUGAAACGCAGCCAGAGCCUGCAGACGACCGUCCUCCUGUGUCUCGGGGAGCUCGUCCCGCAGACAAACCAUCCCUGAAACAAACAAGCACAAUGUCUGAAUGUAAAGUCAAGGCUUCUGUUGGCAUCAAAUCUUCUUGUUGUGAUGAAAUGCUAAAGCUUUUAUCAUGGUAUAUGAUAUUAUUAUGAUAUUGACCUAAGCUGCAAAAAAUAUUGUUUUAACUGGUAUAAUUCAUUUAAUUUGUCAAUUCAUCUUUAUUUCUAUAAUGCUUUUUACAAGGCAGCUUAACAUACAGUGCUCAAUAUAAUUGAGUACACCCCAUUUUGAAAAUGAAUAUUUUUAUCCAUUUCUCAGUGAAUAUAGGUCAUUUUUUGGUGCAUUUGAACAAAAAAUUUAUUAAACGCACAUAUUUAUGAACUAGAAA
Molecule: long non-coding RNA, 1046 nt
Filed under: Danio rerio (zebrafish)
Lineage: Eukaryota; Metazoa; Chordata; Actinopteri; Cypriniformes; Danionidae
Description: lncRNA (ENSDARG00000094647.2)
Source: RNAcentral